This 1362-nucleotide ribosomal RNA is filed under the name Triticum aestivum (bread wheat). RNAcentral describes it as "partial small subunit ribosomal RNA". The record is from RNAcentral. Lineage: Eukaryota; Viridiplantae; Streptophyta; Magnoliopsida; Poales; Poaceae.
AUGUCGGUGUCAACCAGUUCGCGCCGCUUGAUGGUUCAGGCGCAGGCUGCAUCAGGCGGUGAGCGGCGGCAGCGGCGGCGGCGGCGUCCUCUCCUGUUGCGAGAUUCAGGCCAGGUGGGGGCUAUGAGCCGCCGCAUGGUCCGACGCGUCUUGGAGCGGAACAUCGAGGAGCGGUACCGCGCGGGGCACAUUGGCACCGAGGACGCACUCCACCUGUUCGACGAAUUGCUCCAGGUUGCCGGGCCCUCCUCGACCCGCGCCAUCAACUGCCUCCUCUACGUUGUCGGCCGUGAUUGCCCUGCUCUCGGCGUCUCCCUCUUCAACCGGGUCGCAAGAGCCAAGGUGCCCCCACACAAUGUCACCUACAGCAUCCUCAUCGGCUGCUGCUGCCAUGCGGGCCGGUUAGACCUCGGUUUCGCCGCCAUGGGCAACAUCAUUAAGCUGGGUUUUGCGGCUGAAGCCAUGUUCAGUUUCAGCCACCUACUCAGGGCCGUCUGCGCGGAGAACAAGACCAGCUAUGCAAUGGACAUCGCACUCCGGCGAAUGCCCGAGUUUAACUGCACACCGAAUGUUUUCUCCUAUAGCAUUCUUCUCAAAGGUCUCUGUGUUGAGAAGAGAAGUCAAGAGGCUCUUGAGCUUAUUCACAUGAUGGUCGAUGCUGGAGGUAGCUGCCAACCUAAUGUGGUGUCCUAUAGCACUGUAGUUGAUGGCCUGUUGAAAGAGGGUGAGGUGAACAAAGCUUACAGCUUACUUUGUGAAAUGCUACAUCAGGGGAUUUCACCGAAUGUUGUGACGUAUAGCUCAAUCAUCUUUAGCAUGUGCAAGGUUCAAGCAAUGGAUAAGGCCGAGGAGGUCCUUCAACAGAUGUUUGAUACAGGUAUUCUGCCAAAUAUUACUACAUAUAAUAGUCUGAUACACGGAUAUUAUUCAUCAGGACAGUGCGAAGAGGUGGUUCGUAUUUUCAAGAAAAUGUCUAGGAAUGGUGUUCAGCCAGAUAUUGCAACUUACAACAUACAGAUGGAUUAUCUUUGCAAGAGUAGAAGAUUUGCGGAAGCUAGAACUAUUUUUGAUUCUAUGGCCGGUAAGGACCAAAAACCGAAUGUUACUAGCUGCAGUAUUCUGCUUCAUGCGUAUGCUAUGGAACAGUCAUUCCAUGAUAUGCAUUGUCUCAUUGAAUUGAUGGUAGAAAAUGGUAUUGCACCAGAUCAUUCUGUGUACAACAUACUGAUAGUUGUAUAUGCUAAGGGGAAAAUGGUUGAUGAGGUAAUGCAUAUAUUUACAAAAAUGCGGCAGCAAGGAUUGAACCCAAAUGCUGCGAACUAUGGAACAGUAAUAAACUUACAGUAUUGGCCGAAUGGAUGA